This 460-nucleotide ribosomal RNA is filed under the name uncultured bacterium. RNAcentral's name for it is "partial 16S ribosomal RNA". It matches the Rfam family "Bacterial small subunit ribosomal RNA", at positions 338 to 795 of the family's 1533-position model. The record is from RNAcentral.
CCUACGGGAGACAGCAGUGAGGAAUAUUGGUCAAUGGACGAGAGUCUGAACCAGCCAAGUAGCGUGAAGGAUGACUGCCCUAUGGGUUGUAAACUUCUUUUGUGCGGGAGCAAUAAUGGUCACGUGUGGCCAGACGAGAGUACCGUACGAAUAAGCAUCGGCUAACUCCGUGCCAGCAGCCGCGGUAAUACGGAGGAUCCGAGCGUUAUCCGGAUUUAUUGGGUUUAAAGGGAGCGUAGAUGGGUUGUUAAGUCAGUUGUGAAAGUUUGCGGCUCAACCGUAAAAUUGCAAUUGAUACUGGCAGCCUUGAGUACAGUUGAGGUAGGCGGAAUUCGUGGUGUAGCGGUGAAAUGCUUAGAUAUCACGAAGAACUCCGAUUGCGAAGGCAGCUUACUAAACUGCCACUGACAUUGAUGCUCGAAAGUGUGGGUAUCAAACAGGAUUAGAUACCCUAGUAGUC